This 467-nucleotide ribosomal RNA is filed under the name uncultured bacterium. Its description in RNAcentral is "partial 16S ribosomal RNA". It matches the Rfam family "Bacterial small subunit ribosomal RNA", at positions 28 to 507 of the family's 1533-position model. The record is from RNAcentral.
GACGAACGCUGGCGGCGUGCUUAACACAUGCAAGUCGAACGGAAAGGCCUCUUUCGGGGGGUACUCGAGUGGCGAACGGGUGAGUAACACGUGAGUAACCUGCCCUUGACUUUGGGAUAACUUCAGGAAACUGGGGCUAAUACCGGAUAGGAGCUCCUGCUGCAUGGUGGGGGUUGGAAAGUUUCGGCGGUUGGGGAUGGACUCGCGGCUUAUCAGCUUGUUUGUGGGGUAGUGGCUUACCAAGGCUUUGACGGGUAGCCGGCCUGAGAGGGUGACCGGCCACAAUGGGACUGAGAUAAGGCCCAGGCUGCUACUGGGGGCAGCAGUGAGGAAUAUUGCACAAGGGGUGGCAGCCUGAUGCAGCAGGGCCGUGUACGGGAAGACGGCGUUCGGGUUGUAAACCGAUUUCGCACGUGACGAAGCAUUGUGUGACGGUAGUGGGUAAGAAAGCACCGGCUAACUACGUG